GAUGAACGCUAGCUACAGGCUUAACACAUGCAAGUCGGGGGGCAGCAUGGUCUUAGCUUGCUAAGGCCGAUGGCGACCGGCGCACGGGUGAGUAACACGUAUCCAACCUGCCGUCUACUCUUGGACAGCCUUCUGAAAGGAAGAUUAAUACAAGAUGGCAUCAUGAGUUCACAUGUUCACAUGAUUAAAGGUAUUCCGGUAGACGAUGGGGAUGCGUUCCAUUAGAUAGUAGGCGGGGUAACGGCCCACCUAGUCUUCGAUGGAUAGGGGUUCUGAGAGGAAGGUCCCCCCGCAUUGGAACUGAGACACGGGUCCAAACUCCUACGGGAGGCAGCAGUGAGGAAUAUUGGGCAAUGGGGGGAACCCUGACCGAGCAACGCCGCGUGAGUGAAGAAGGUUUUCGGAUCGUAAAGCUCUGUUGUUAGAGAAGAACGUGUGUGAGAGU
Molecule: ribosomal RNA, 445 nt
Filed under: uncultured bacterium
Lineage: Bacteria
Description: bacterial SSU rRNA
Rfam family: Bacterial small subunit ribosomal RNA
Source: RNAcentral